GCCGCAGUGCUGGAAUUGGUAGACAGGCACGGCUUAGAACCGUGUGUCCUUGGGCGUGGAGGUUCGACUCCUCUCUGCGGCA
Molecule: transfer RNA, 82 nt
Filed under: Patescibacteria group bacterium
Lineage: Bacteria
Also listed under: 1 other name
Description: tRNA-Leu
Rfam family: tRNA
About the family: Transfer RNA (tRNA) molecules are approximately 80 nucleotides in length. Their secondary structure includes four short double-helical elements and three loops (D, anti-codon, and T loops). Further hydrogen bonds mediate the characteristic L-shaped molecular structure. tRNAs have two regions of fundamental functional importance: the anti-codon, which is responsible for specific mRNA codon recognition, and the 3' end, to which the tRNAs corresponding amino acid is attached (by aminoacyl-tRNA synthetases). tRNAs cope with the degeneracy of the genetic code in two manners: having more than one tRNA (with a specific anti-codon) for a particular amino acid; and 'wobble' base-pairing, i.e. permitting non-standard base-pairing at the 3rd anti-codon position.
Source: RNAcentral